CAUGCACUUUCUGUGAUUGAUAGUUAAGUUAUUUUGAAAAAUAUAUUUAAACAAAAUAAAAAAUUAUACUAGAAAAUCAUUAAUGUUAUUUAUCAUGGAAGAGAACUCAAAUACACUUUUCGUCAUAUCCUCUACACUGCCAAGAUUAUGCAUGAUCGCGACGAGAUACUACGAUAAAAUAGAAGAAAAAAAAAGGAAAGAAGAAGAAGAAGAAGAAGAAAAAGAAAAGUGAAUAAAAGUCAUAACGAUAGGGAAGAGCUUGUUCGUUCGUAAGGAAGUUUAUUAUACGAGUUGAAAAACAUUUAUAUAUGCAAUGAGGCGUAUGUGUGUUAUUGUAAAAAGAACAAAAAGAAAGGGAAAGGAGAGCACGAUGCCUCUGGCAUAUCCAGAAGGUACAUCGAGCGCUAAAACACACAGUAUCCUACAUACGUGACUUCACUACGCAUAAAUACGAGAUGCCUCUGUGAUAUCCUCGAGCUAUGCAACCUCCGACUUGUUAGAGAACAACUCUUGCCUACCAUUUUUACUUCUAGAAUUGAGAUCUCCGAAUCAUCGAUCUUUAUAUCAGUGAUACGCAUAAGUGAUAUUUUAUAUAUAUAUGCUUAUCAUAUGUUUUAAAUGUUAGAUUUUAAAUACCAAACCAAUAUGAUCCAAUUCUAAUAUUUAUACAAGGAGAAUUUUUUAAAACAACCCGAAAACGA
Polistes canadensis is the source of this 701-nucleotide long non-coding RNA. RefSeq lists it as uncharacterized. The record is from RefSeq and is a predicted model, not a curated record. The transcript is spliced from 3 exons. Lineage: Eukaryota; Metazoa; Arthropoda; Insecta; Hymenoptera; Vespidae.